UACAGAGGUGGCAAGCGUUGUUCGGAAUUACUGGGCGUCAAGGGCGCGUAGGCGGGUCAUCAAGUCCGGGGUGAAAUCCCACGGCCCAACCGUGGAAGUGCCUUGGAUACUGGAGACCUCGAGGGGGAUAGGGGCGUGCGGAACUCAGGGUGGAGCGGUGAAAUGCGUAGAUAUCCUGAGGAACACCGGUGGCGAAAGCGGCGCGCUGGAUCCCUUCUGACGCUGAGGCGCGAAAGCCAGGGGAGCAAACGGG
RNAcentral lists this ribosomal RNA (253 nucleotides) under uncultured bacterium. RNAcentral describes it as "partial 16S ribosomal RNA". It matches the Rfam family "Bacterial small subunit ribosomal RNA", at positions 524 to 776 of the family's 1533-position model. The record is from RNAcentral.